UUGGAGGGCAAGUCUGGUGCCAGCAGCCGCGGUAAUUCCAGCUCCAAUAGCGUAUAUUAAAGUUGUUGCAGUUAAAAAGCUCGUAGUUGAAUUUCGAGAUCAAAUUGUUGGUCGUGCCUCGGUACGUACUGGCAUUAUUGAUUUCUCCCUUCCGAAGAACCUUGAUGUCAUUAAUUUGGUGUCUUGGGGAAUCAGGACCGUUACCUUGAAAAAAUUAGAGUGUUUAAAGCAGGCUCACGCUUGAUUACAUUAGCAUGGAAUAACGAAAUAGGACGUUUGAUCCUAUUUUGUUGGUUUCUAGGAUUGACGUAAUGAUUAAUAGGGAUAGUUGGGGGCAUUAGUAUUCAAUUGUCAGAGGUGAAAUUCUUGGAUUUAUUGAAGACUAACUACUGCGAAAGCAUUUGCCAAGGAUGUUUUCAUUAAUCAAGAACGAAAGUUAGGGGAUCGAAGACGAUCAGAUACCGUCGUAGUCUUAACCAUAAACUAUGCCGACUAGGGAUCGGAUGAUGUUAAUUUUUUAAUGACUCAUUCGGCGCCUUACGGGAAACCAAAGUGUUUGGGUUC
RNAcentral lists this ribosomal RNA (564 nucleotides) under uncultured Glomeromycotina. Its description in RNAcentral is "SSU rRNA". It matches the Rfam family "Eukaryotic small subunit ribosomal RNA", at positions 548 to 1114 of the family's 1831-position model. Lineage: Eukaryota; Fungi; Glomeromycota. The record is from RNAcentral.